UAACAAUUUAUUAUAAAAGGAGAUAGAAAAAUUUCAUGGUAAAAUUAUCUGGAAUUCAUAAAGAUUCCAAACAUUAUAUUUAUGGCGAAAAUGUCAAGCUUUAGGUAUUCAGAGACUAUCUAAACGAUUUCUAUAUCAAUUUAGUUGUUAGGGCGGAUGACAACUUUACCAUUUUGCAAGAAGGAGCAUAUGGCUGAUAUAUUGCUACUCAAUGGCAACUAACAAUUUAUCCUUACUUCUUUAUAUGGAGUAUAUGGACCAUACGCGGCUUGGUGAAACUGCCUUAUUCCCUCAUACUUUAUGGACAAACAUUUAUUUUAGGUAUCAUUUAGAUGGGCCCUGCACAAACAACCAUCUCGAGGGGUUCCAUCAUGCGCUAAAAAGAAAACAAGCAGUACACAUCCUAAUGUGUACAUCCUAAUCAAUAUUGAUCAAAAAUCAAAAUUCGAAUGAUAUUAAGCUGAUGCAAAUUCAUAAUGGAUGCGGCGAGCAAAUCGGACUUAUGAAAAUUAAAUCAUAAAAUAGACAAUUUAACGUCUAUGUAUGAUAGAGCAACCUUAAAUUUGUUUCCUUUUUUAGA
This is a long non-coding RNA of Gordionus sp. m RMFG-2023, 580 nucleotides long. RefSeq lists it as uncharacterized. Lineage: Eukaryota; Metazoa; Nematomorpha; Gordioida; Chordodea; Parachordodidae. The transcript is spliced from 3 exons. The record is from RefSeq and is a predicted model, not a curated record.